AGCUGGUCCGAGUGCAGUGGUGUUUACAACUAAUUGAUCACAACCAGUUACAGAUUUCUUUGUUCCUUCUCCACUCCCACUGCUUCACUUGUCUAGCCUUAA
Y RNA from Callithrix jacchus (white-tufted-ear marmoset), 102 nucleotides. It matches the Rfam family "Y RNA". Rfam says of the family: Y RNAs are components of the Ro ribonucleoprotein particle (Ro RNP), in association with Ro60 and La proteins. The Y RNAs and Ro60 and La proteins are well conserved, but the function of the Ro RNP is not known. In humans the RNA component can be one of four small RNAs -- hY1, hY3, hY4 and hY5. NCBI's taxonomy places the organism in Eukaryota, Metazoa, Chordata, Mammalia, Primates, Cebidae. The record is from Ensembl.